GACAAACGCUGGCGGGGUGCAUGAGACAUGCAAGUCGAACGGGGUUGAGCGGGCUUGCUCGAUCAACCUAGUGGCGGACGGCUGAGUAACGCGUAGGGGACCUACCCGGAAGGGGGGGAU
This 120-nucleotide ribosomal RNA is filed under the name uncultured bacterium. RNAcentral describes it as "partial 16S ribosomal RNA". It matches the Rfam family "Bacterial small subunit ribosomal RNA", at positions 28 to 144 of the family's 1533-position model. The record is from RNAcentral.